AAAAUAAAGCCAAAGACCUUCUAGGCCGUCAUACGCACUCCGAAGGUACGAAGUCCCUAUACGAAAGUAGCUUUAAAUAUAUAAAAUCCUGACCCCACGAAAGCUAAGAAACAAACUGGGAUUAGAUACCCCACUAUGCUUAGCCUUAAACCCAGAUGUACCCUUACAUUUACAUCCGCCAGGGAACUACAAGCACAGCUUAAAACCCAAAGGACUUGGCGGUGCCUCAGACCCACCUAGAGGAGCCUGUUCUAGAACCGAUACCCCCCGUUAAACCUUACCACUUCUUGUUUCCCCCGCCUAUAUACCGCCGUCGUCAGCUUACCCUGUGAAGGCCCAAUAGUAAGCAAAAUGGGUCCAUCCAAAAACGUCAGGUCGAGGUGUAGCGUACGAAGUGGAAAGAAAUGGGCUACAUUUUCUAUAAUAAUAGAAUAUUACGGACGGCACCCUGAAACCAGUGCCCAAAGGUGGAUUUAGUAGUAAAAAAUAAAUAGAGAGUAUUUUUGAAUUAGGCUCUGAGACGCGCACACACCGCCCGUCACUCUCCCCCACCCCACCUAAACCUAACAUUCCUAAUAACACAAACCUAAAUUCGGGGAGGCAAGUCGUAACAUGGUAAGUGUACCGGAAGGUGCACUUGGAAUAAU
This 647-nucleotide ribosomal RNA is filed under the name Bagre marinus (gafftopsail sea catfish). RNAcentral describes it as "partial small subunit ribosomal RNA". It matches the Rfam family "Bacterial small subunit ribosomal RNA", at positions 653 to 1533 of the family's 1533-position model. Lineage: Eukaryota; Metazoa; Chordata; Actinopteri; Siluriformes; Ariidae. The record is from RNAcentral.